RNAcentral lists this ribosomal RNA (1554 nucleotides) under Klebsiella pneumoniae. RNAcentral describes it as "bacterial SSU rRNA". It matches the Rfam family "Bacterial small subunit ribosomal RNA". The record is from RNAcentral. Lineage: Bacteria; Pseudomonadati; Pseudomonadota; Gammaproteobacteria; Enterobacterales; Enterobacteriaceae.
ACUUAAAUUGAAGAGUUUGAUCAUGGCUCAGAUUGAACGCUGGCGGCAGGCCUAACACAUGCAAGUCGAGCGGUAGCACAGAGAGCUUGCUCUCGGGUGACGAGCGGCGGACGGGUGAGUAAUGUCUGGGAAACUGCCUGAUGGAGGGGGAUAACUACUGGAAACGGUAGCUAAUACCGCAUAAUGUCGCAAGACCAAAGUGGGGGACCUUCGGGCCUCAUGCCAUCAGAUGUGCCCAGAUGGGAUUAGCUAGUAGGUGGGGUAAUGGCUCACCUAGGCGACGAUCCCUAGCUGGUCUGAGAGGAUGACCAGCCACACUGGAACUGAGACACGGUCCAGACUCCUACGGGAGGCAGCAGUGGGGAAUAUUGCACAAUGGGCGCAAGCCUGAUGCAGCCAUGCCGCGUGUGUGAAGAAGGCCUUCGGGUUGUAAAGCACUUUCAGCGGGGAGGAAGGCGAUAAGGUUAAUAACCUUGUCGAUUGACGUUACCCGCAGAAGAAGCACCGGCUAACUCCGUGCCAGCAGCCGCGGUAAUACGGAGGGUGCAAGCGUUAAUCGGAAUUACUGGGCGUAAAGCGCACGCAGGCGGUCUGUCAAGUCGGAUGUGAAAUCCCCGGGCUCAACCUGGGAACUGCAUUCGAAACUGGCAGGCUAGAGUCUUGUAGAGGGGGGUAGAAUUCCAGGUGUAGCGGUGAAAUGCGUAGAGAUCUGGAGGAAUACCGGUGGCGAAGGCGGCCCCCUGGACAAAGACUGACGCUCAGGUGCGAAAGCGUGGGGAGCAAACAGGAUUAGAUACCCUGGUAGUCCACGCCGUAAACGAUGUCGAUUUGGAGGUUGUGCCCUUGAGGCGUGGCUUCCGGAGCUAACGCGUUAAAUCGACCGCCUGGGGAGUACGGCCGCAAGGUUAAAACUCAAAUGAAUUGACGGGGGCCCGCACAAGCGGUGGAGCAUGUGGUUUAAUUCGAUGCAACGCGAAGAACCUUACCUGGUCUUGACAUCCACAGAACUUUCCAGAGAUGGAUUGGUGCCUUCGGGAACUGUGAGACAGGUGCUGCAUGGCUGUCGUCAGCUCGUGUUGUGAAAUGUUGGGUUAAGUCCCGCAACGAGCGCAACCCUUAUCCUUUGUUGCCAGCGGUUAGGCCGGGAACUCAAAGGAGACUGCCAGUGAUAAACUGGAGGAAGGUGGGGAUGACGUCAAGUCAUCAUGGCCCUUACGACCAGGGCUACACACGUGCUACAAUGGCAUAUACAAAGAGAAGCGACCUCGCGAGAGCAAGCGGACCUCAUAAAGUAUGUCGUAGUCCGGAUUGGAGUCUGCAACUCGACUCCAUGAAGUCGGAAUCGCUAGUAAUCGUAGAUCAGAAUGCUACGGUGAAUACGUUCCCGGGCCUUGUACACACCGCCCGUCACACCAUGGGAGUGGGUUGCAAAAGAAGUAGGUAGCUUAACCUUCGGGAGGGCGCUUACCACUUUGUGAUUCAUGACUGGGGUGAAGUCGUAACAAGGUAACCGUAGGGGAACCUGCGGUUGGAUCACCUCCUUACCUUAAAGAA